This 87-nucleotide transfer RNA is filed under the name Lachnospiraceae bacterium. RNAcentral's name for it is "tRNA-OTHER". It matches the Rfam family "tRNA". From Rfam's summary of the family: Transfer RNA (tRNA) molecules are approximately 80 nucleotides in length. Lineage: Bacteria; Bacillati; Bacillota; Clostridia; Lachnospirales; Lachnospiraceae. The record is from RNAcentral.
GAGACAGUAGCUCAGUUGGUAGAGCGACUGAGGAAUGGCCGUAAUUUGCCCCUCAGCAGGUCAUAGGUUCGAGUCCUAUCUGUUUCU